ACAUGCAGAGAACUUUCCUAGAGAUGGAUUGGUGCCUUCGGGAACGUCUGACACAGGUGCUGCAUGGCUGUCGUCAGCUCGUGUCGUGAGAUGUUGGGUUAAGUCCCGUAACGAGCGCAACCCUUGUCCUUAGUUACCAGCACGUUAUGGUGGGCACUCUAAGGAGACUGCCGGUGACAAACCGGAGGAAGGUGGGGGAUGACGUCAAGUCAUCAUGGCCCUUACGGCCUGGGCUACACACGUGCUACAAUGGUCGGUACAAAGGGUUGCCAAGCCGCGAGGUGGAGCUAAUCCCAUAAAACCGAUCGUAGUCCGGAUCGCAGUCUGCAACUCGACUGCGUGAAGUCGGAAUCGCUAGUAAUCGUGAAUCAGAAUGUCACGGUGAAUACGUUCCCGGGCCUU
This 402-nucleotide ribosomal RNA is filed under the name uncultured Pseudomonas sp. RNAcentral's name for it is "bacterial SSU rRNA". It matches the Rfam family "Bacterial small subunit ribosomal RNA", at positions 984 to 1382 of the family's 1533-position model. Lineage: Bacteria; Pseudomonadati; Pseudomonadota; Gammaproteobacteria; Pseudomonadales; Pseudomonadaceae. The record is from RNAcentral.